Molecule: long non-coding RNA, 239 nt
Organism: Cynoglossus semilaevis (tongue sole)
Lineage: Eukaryota; Metazoa; Chordata; Actinopteri; Pleuronectiformes; Cynoglossidae
Exons: 2
Source: RefSeq, a predicted model, not a curated record
CACGAGUGGAAACAAUAAAAAGGAGAAAAAUCUCAUCACUUUUUGUCACUUAACAUGCGCACCAGUGACGAUGGAUAUGGUCCAGAGGCAAACACAAGUCAUGAGCAAAGAGCAUUUGAGAUAUUCCCUCUGUGGUCCAGUGAGUCUGGCGGCAGAACACAGUUCAACACUGAGAGAAGAGCUUUGUUUUCAAGUGUCGGAAUGAAGACACCGUCAGUGAGGAGUGAUAAAAGCAAAAA